Molecule: ribosomal RNA, 579 nt
Filed under: Platypelis olgae
Lineage: Eukaryota; Metazoa; Chordata; Amphibia; Anura; Microhylidae
Description: partial 16S ribosomal RNA
Rfam family: Bacterial large subunit ribosomal RNA (bases 19-135)
Source: RNAcentral
GCACUUAAAGUUUGACUCCCCGAAACUAAGCGAGCUACUCCAAAGCAACCUCACGGGCCAACCCGUCUCUGUUGCAAAAGAGUGGGAAGACUUUAGAGUAGAGGUGACACACCUACCGGGCUUAGAGAUAGCUGGUUAUUCAAGAAAAGGAUCUUAGUCCACCUUUAAGUUUUUAUAAGUACUUUAAAACACCCUAUAAACUUAAAAGCCACUCAAAUAAGGUACAGCCUAUUUGAAAAAGGAAACAGCCUACGAUAUAGGGUAAUGAUUUACCUUAUGUGACCAAGUUGGCCUAAGAGCAGCUACCUUAUAGAAAGCGUCCAAGCUUCAUCACAAACCCUCAUUAAUUCCAAAAUUAAUUCAUAACCCCCAACCACUACUGAAUCUCCCUAUACUUAUAUAGGUAAUAUCAUGCUAGAACUAGUAAAAAGAAGAAGACCUCCUCCAAAAAUGUAAGCGUAAGCCAAAAUGAACACUCACCGGCAAUUACCGCCAUAAACCUGCAGUAUUAACACCACAAGAAAAUCAUACUCCAACUAACGUCAACCUUACACCAGAACAUUCCUGGAAAGAUUAAAA